AAAGCCCCGACGGUAGGGGAUGGCUCCGCGGCCCAUCAGGUAGACGGCGGGGUGACGGCCCACCGUGCCGACAACGGGUAGCCGGGUUGAGAGACCGACCGGCCAGAUUGGGACUGAGACACGGCCCAGACUCCUACGGGAGGCAGCAGUGGGGAAUCUUGCGCAAUGGGGGGAACCCUGACGCAGCGACGCCGCGUGCGGGACGGAGGCCUUCGGGUCGUAAACCGCUUUCAGCAGGGAAGAGUCAAGACUGUACCUGCAGAAGAAGCCCCGGCUAACUACGUGCCAGCAGCCGCGGUAAUACGUAGGGGGCGAGCGUUAUCCGGAUUCAUUGGGCGUAAAGCGCGCGUAGGCGGCCCGGCAGGCCGGGGGUCGAAGCGGGGGGCUCAACCCCCCGAAGCCCCCGGAACCUCCGCGGCUUGGGUCCGGUAGGGGAGGGUGGAACACCCGGUGUAGCGGUGGAAUGCGCAGAUAUCGGGUGGAACACCGGUGGCGAAGGCGGCCCUCUGGGCCGAGACCGACGCUGAGGCGCGAAAGCUGGGGGAGCGAACAGGAUUAGAUACCCUGGUAGUCCCAGCCGUAA
Molecule: ribosomal RNA, 583 nt
Filed under: uncultured bacterium
Lineage: Bacteria
Description: bacterial SSU rRNA
Rfam family: Bacterial small subunit ribosomal RNA
Source: RNAcentral